RNAcentral lists this ribosomal RNA (253 nucleotides) under uncultured bacterium. Its description in RNAcentral is "partial 16S ribosomal RNA". It matches the Rfam family "Bacterial small subunit ribosomal RNA", at positions 524 to 776 of the family's 1533-position model. The record is from RNAcentral.
UACGGGGGGGGCAAGCGUUGUUCGGAAUUACUGGGCGUAAAGGGCGCGUAGGCGGCCUGCUAAGUCGGAUGUGAAAUCCCUCGGCUUAACCGAGGAAAUGCAUCCGAUACUGGCGGGCUUGAAUCCGGGAGAGGGAUGUGGAAUUCCAGGUGUAGCGGUGAAAUGCGUAGAUAUCUGGAGGAACACCGGUGGCGAAGGCGGCAUCCUGGACCGGUAUUGACGCUGAGGCGCGAAAGCUAGGGGAGCAAACGGG